RNAcentral lists this ribosomal RNA (450 nucleotides) under Streptococcus sp. oral taxon 064. Its description in RNAcentral is "bacterial SSU rRNA". It matches the Rfam family "Bacterial small subunit ribosomal RNA", at positions 39 to 473 of the family's 1533-position model. Lineage: Bacteria; Bacillati; Bacillota; Bacilli; Lactobacillales; Streptococcaceae. The record is from RNAcentral.
GCGGCGUGCCUAAUACAUGCAAGUAGAACGCUGAAGGAGGAGCUUGCUCUUCUGGAUGAGUUGCGAACGGGUGAGUAACGCGUAGGUAACCUGCCUGGUAGCGGGGGAUAACUAUUGGAAACGAUAGCUAAUACCGCAUAAGAGUAGAUGUUGCAUGACAUUUGCUUAAAAGGUGCAAUUGCAUCACUACCAGAUGGACCUGCGUUGUAUUAGCUAGUUGGUGGGGUAACGGCUCACCAAGGCGACGAUACAUAGCCGACCUGAGAGGGUGAUCGGCCACACUGGGACUGAGACACGGCCCAGACUCCUACGGGAGGCAGCAGUAGGGAAUCUUCGGCAAUGGACGGAAGUCUGACCGAGCAACGCCGCGUGAGUGAAGAAGGUUUUCGGAUCGUAAAGCUCUGUUGUAAGAGAAGAACGAGUGUGAGAGUGGAAAGUUCACACUGUGAC